This 221-nucleotide long non-coding RNA is filed under the name Helianthus annuus (common sunflower). RNAcentral describes it as "sRNA HanXRQr2_Chr12g0550951". Lineage: Eukaryota; Viridiplantae; Streptophyta; Magnoliopsida; Asterales; Asteraceae. The record is from RNAcentral.
GGGUUCGUUUAAUGGGCAAGAUUGGGAAGCCUUUAUAAAUCAGUGGAAAACGGUGUGUAAUUCCGCUACCAAAGAGUUAUACAAAUAUAACGUCCUCAACCUUCAGAGACACCUUGUCAAUCAACAACUUACAUGUAUAUUCUCGCUAAAUGUUUUUAAUUACCUAUGGAAUAACUGGUUAAGCACCUCCAGACAAUUGUUCGUAUCUGCAUGGACCAAUC